CAGCCCUUGACAUGGCAGGACGAUUUCCGGAGACGGAUUUCUUCACUUCGGUGACCUGCACACAGGUGCUGCAUGGCUGUCGUCAGCUCGUGUCGUGAGAUGUUGGGUUAAGUCCCGCAACGAGCGCAACCCUCGCCUUUAGUUGCCAUCAUUUAGUUGGGCACUCUAGAGGGACUGCCGGUGAUAAGCCGGAGGAAGGUGGGGAUGACGUCAAGUCUUCAUGGCCCUUACGGGCUGGGCUACACACGUGCUACAAUGGCGGUGACAGAGGGCAGCUAGUCCGCGAGGACAUGCUAAUCCCUAAAAGCCGUCUCAGUUCGGAUUGCACUCUGCAACUCGAGUGCAUGAAGUUGGAAUCGCUAGUAAUCGUGGAUCAGCACGCCACGGUGAAUACGUUCCC
RNAcentral lists this ribosomal RNA (400 nucleotides) under uncultured bacterium. Its description in RNAcentral is "bacterial SSU rRNA". It matches the Rfam family "Bacterial small subunit ribosomal RNA", at positions 975 to 1375 of the family's 1533-position model. The record is from RNAcentral.